CAAGUCCCAUCCGGCCAAAGCCGAAGCGGGCAAGCCGGGACCGAGUCUUGCGGGCGUCCGGCAACGCGGGGUCUGAAGUGUAGACAGGAGCCAUGCGGGGUGCGGGAAUGAGCCUCGAAAGGUGGAUGUUCGCGGAGGCCGAGUGUGUUCCCAUGAGCAUCGUCGUUAUGCGAGACGAUGCCGCUCCGUCGGGGUCGAUGGCCG
Non-coding RNA from Bradyrhizobium yuanmingense, 204 nucleotides. Lineage: Bacteria; Pseudomonadati; Pseudomonadota; Alphaproteobacteria; Hyphomicrobiales; Nitrobacteraceae. The record is from Rfam.